UACGGAGGAUGCAAGCGUUAUCCGGAAUGAUUGGGCGUAAAGCGUCCGCAGGUGGCUGUGUAAGUCUGCUGUCAAAGAGCGAAGCUCAACUUCGUAAAGGCAGUGGAAACUACACGGCUGAGAGUGCGUUCGGGGUCGAGAGGGAAGUUCCUGGUGUAGCGGUGAAAUGCGUAGAGAUCGAGGAAGAACACCGGUGGCGAAGGCGCUCUGGACUAGGCC
RNAcentral lists this ribosomal RNA (219 nucleotides) under uncultured bacterium. RNAcentral's name for it is "partial 16S ribosomal RNA". It matches the Rfam family "Bacterial small subunit ribosomal RNA", at positions 524 to 735 of the family's 1533-position model. The record is from RNAcentral.